Molecule: ribosomal RNA, 119 nt
Filed under: bacterium
Lineage: Bacteria
Description: partial 16S ribosomal RNA
Rfam family: Bacterial small subunit ribosomal RNA
Source: RNAcentral
UUUUUUUUGAAGAGUUUGAUCCUGGCUCAGGACGAACGUUGGCGGUGUGUCUAAGGCAUGCAAGUCGAACGAGAUCGCUUUCUUCGGAAAGCAUAUAUCGAGUGGCAGACGGCUGAGUA